UGUUAAUCGUUUUUUCGUCAUUUCAGGUUGGACGGUAAACACGUCGUGUUUGGCAAGGUAUUAUCCGGCAUGGACGUGGUGUAUAAGAUCGAAGCGGAAGGCCGGCAAAACGGAACGCCCAAAAGCAGUGUUGUAAUCGCCGACAGCGGGGAACUUCCUCUGUGAUACCAUUUUACUUGACAUUCAUAAAGUCAGAAAAUCUGCAUGUUAUUAGUCAUCUUUAUUUAAUUCGCGUACAGUGUCGAACUAUAACUCCCGACGAAGCGAACCUUUCUCUAUCUAGUGUCUUUGUGUAUGAGUGGCACUCCAAUCUAUUUUCCUAUUUAGGUAUUCCACUUUUCAUGCUUUUGCAAAAAUUCAAAUCCUUGGUAUCACCGAAAUCAUCUGCAGAUCCGCGUUAUGCAACCGUGCAGAGUUUGCUGCGUACAAAAGGAUGCGUGGUAACAAUUUUUUAAAACAAGGAUGAUUUAUCCAAACAAGAUGAUGGAUUAGCUUGAAGAUUGCGUUUGGAGAUUGUCUUUGGGGAACAAUUAUAUAUUUUUGAGUUUAAGUUCUUUUGUAAAUAUUCUAUGCAUUUUCAAUCUUUACACUUGGUUAUUAUAAUUUUAUCACUUACUCUA
Ananas comosus (pineapple) is the source of this 620-nucleotide long non-coding RNA. RefSeq lists it as uncharacterized. Lineage: Eukaryota; Viridiplantae; Streptophyta; Magnoliopsida; Poales; Bromeliaceae. The transcript has 2 exons. The record is from RefSeq and is a predicted model, not a curated record.